Molecule: ribosomal RNA, 501 nt
Filed under: uncultured bacterium
Lineage: Bacteria
Description: SSU rRNA
Rfam family: Bacterial small subunit ribosomal RNA
Source: RNAcentral
AGGAUGAACGCUGGCGGCGUGCCUAACACAUGCAAGUCGAACGUCCUUGCGGUCUUCUUCUUCGGAGGAGGACCGCGAGGGAGUGGCGGACGGGUGAGUAACACAUGGGUACCUGCCUUUCAGUGAGGAAUACCGGCGAGAAAUCGCCGACAAGACCGCAUAGGCUUCCUUCGGUAGCCCGAGGGAAGCAAAGUUACUUCGCGAGAGGUGACGCUGGAAGAGGGGCCUGUGGCCGAUUAGCUAUUGGGGGGGUAACGGCCUCCCAAGGCGACGAUCGGUAGCUGGUCUGAGAGGACGAUCAGCCACACUGGGAUUGAGAACGGCCCAGACUCCUACGGGGGGCAGCAGUGAGGAAUUUUCCGCAAUGGACGAAAGUCUGACGGAGCAACGCCGCGUGCAGGAGGAAGGUUUUCGGAUCGUAAACUGCUUUUCUCGGGGACGAGGCAAGGACGGUACCCGAGGAAGAAGCCCCGGCUAACUACGUGCCAGCAGCCGCGGUAA